CGCGAGGAGGGGCAGCGGGAGAGGGUCGGUGUUCCACGGCGAGCCCGCUGAGGCCGCAGCUCCGCUGGGCGCGACCGCAUCGCAUUGCCCGGCAGCCCGCAGGUGACGGGGAGGGGAAGCUCGCCCCAAAUCUAUCCCGGGAUCCCCGGAAUUCCCAUUGCCAGACUUUGGCUGGAUGGAGGAAGAGAAGGCUUUGAGGAGGAGGAAGUUGUCACGGGACCCCUAGGCAGACAAGGAGCCCAGGGAGGACAAAUCUCCUCAGCAGAACCUCGUGGAAGAGGCUGUUUUGAGCGGCUCCAUGGCACAGGAAUGCAACGGGGAGGAAAAGCCGCGGAGAUCCCGCCCGAGGAGGGGCUCCAAACCCAUGCCAGGGUGCUCCGAGGAGGAAGGACCCACCCUGUGCCAGGAAGGCAGCCAGAGAUGUGGCCAGAGCUCUGAGCUGCUGGUGCAUGAACAGCUUCACAAUGGCAAGAAGCUGCACCAGUGCUUGGAAUGUGGGAGGAGUUUCUGUGCAAACCGCAGCCUGCUCCAGCACCAGAAGAUCCACACUGGGGAACGGCGCUGUGAGUGUGGGAAAUGUGGGAAGCGCUUCAGAGACACCUCUGACCUGAUGAUCCACCAGAGAGUCCACACUGGGGAACGGCCCUAUGAGUGUGGGGAGUGUUGGAAGAGCUUCACUACGAGCUCCAGACUGAUUGUCCACCAGAGGAUCCACACUGGGGAACGGCCCUAUGAGUGUGGGGAAUGUGGGAAGAGCUUCACUAAGAACUCCACUUUAUACAAGCACAGGAGGAUCCACACUGUUGAACGGCCCUAGAAAUGUGGAGAAUGUGGGAAAGGCUUCAUGAAGAGCUCCCACCUCAAACACCACCAGAUGCUGUGCACUGGAAUCUGACCCUGUGUGUGUGGGGAGAGCGGGAACAGCUUCUGUGACAGCUCUGGCCUGAUCAUGCAGCAGACAGUGCACACUGGGGAAUGCCCCUACACGUGCUCAGAAUGUGGGAAGAGCUUCAUCCAGCACUCCAAGCUGUUUGUCCACCGGCAGAUGCACAGCGGAGAGAGGCCCUAACAGUGUCCUGAGUGUGGGAAGAGCUUGUCCCAGAGCUGUGCCGUGACCCAAGAGCAAUGGAGGCAGCAGGAAGGGAAGCCCUACAAGUGCCCCGCGUGCGGGAAGAGCUUUGUGCGCUGCUCCAACUUCAUCCCCCGUUGGAGGAGCCCAUUGGAUGAUCCCCAGUGAGCCGUGUUGGGCAGAGCCUUGGGGAUCCACGGUCCUGGUGAUCCAUGGUGGGAAGACAGCUGGCUGGUGGUCUCCACAUCUUCCUGGGCCCCUGGGGGCACCUGGGCGCAGCAGGACAAAAUUCUCUUGGGAUGCAGACCAGCGUCAGGAAUUCAUUAGGGAUAGUGAAUUUUUUUACUUUUGACCUGAAGAAAUCCCACCUUUUGCAUCCUAUUGUUUCUUCUCUAAGCAUCAAGGAAUACUGGGAUGUCUUAAGAGUCUUUUCCAACCUAAAUCAUUCCAUGAUUCUAAUUCUUUCUGACCCUUCCACAGGCGUCUUCCAGAGCCAAAUGGUGACUGAGUGGGACAAAAAAUGAAGAUUUUGGAGACAAUGGAGUGGAAACUCCUCUAAGAAGGGUUCUUUCCAGCCACCCAAGCACGUGGAUACUCAGCCAGCAUGGACACAUAAAUCCUUUUAUUUUGGCCUUGAUUUUCUUUCGUUGUUCAUUGUUCAUUGUUCAUUGUUCAUUGUUCAUUGUUCAUUGUUCAUUGUUCAUUGUUCGUUGUUCAUUGUUCUUCAUCCUUUCACCCAACACUGGGGUAAAAAUAAAAACCUUGAUCUAAGACACAGUUGGAGAUAUUGUGG
Molecule: long non-coding RNA, 1862 nt
Organism: Prinia subflava (tawny-flanked prinia)
Lineage: Eukaryota; Metazoa; Chordata; Aves; Passeriformes; Cisticolidae
Exons: 3
Source: RefSeq, a predicted model, not a curated record